This 504-nucleotide ribosomal RNA is filed under the name uncultured bacterium. Its description in RNAcentral is "partial 16S ribosomal RNA". It matches the Rfam family "Bacterial small subunit ribosomal RNA", at positions 30 to 523 of the family's 1533-position model. The record is from RNAcentral.
AUUGAACGCUGGCAGCAGGCCUAACACAUGCAAGUCGAACGGUAGCACAGAGAGCUUGCUCUCGGGUGACGAGUGGCGGACGGGUGAGUAACGUCUGGGAAACUGCCCGAUGGAGGGGGAUAACUACUGGAAACGGUAGCUAAUAACGCAUAACGUCGCAAGACCAAAGUGGGGUACCUUCGGGCCUCACACCAUCGGAGGUGCCCAGAUGGGAUUAGCUAUUAGGUGGGGUAAUGGCUCACCUAGGCGACGAUCCGUAGCUGGUCUGAGAGGAUGACCAGCCACACUGGAACUGAGACACGGUCCAGACUCCUACGGGAGGCAGCAGUGGGGAAUAUUGCACAAUGGGCGCAAGACUGAUGCAGCCAUGCCGCGUGUAUGAAGAAGGCCUUCGGGUUGUAAAGUACUUUCAGCGGGGAGGAAGGCGGUGAAGUUAAUAGCUUCACCGAUUGACGUUACCCGCAGAAGAAGCACCGGCUAACUCCGUGCCAGCCGCCGCAGUAA